UACAGAGGGUGCGAGCGUUAAUCGGAAUUACUGGGCGUAAAGCGCGCGUAGGCGGCUUUGCAAGUCGGGUGUGAAAUCCCCGGGCUCAACCUGGGAACUGCAUUUGUGACUGCAUCGCUGGAGUGCGGCAGAGGGGAAUGGAAUUCCGCGUGUAGCAGUGAAAUGCGUAGAUAUGCGGAGGAACACCGAUGGCGAAGGCAAUCCCCUGGGCCUGCACUGACGCUCAUGCACGAAAGCGUGGGGAGCAAACAGG
This 253-nucleotide ribosomal RNA is filed under the name uncultured bacterium. RNAcentral describes it as "partial 16S ribosomal RNA". It matches the Rfam family "Bacterial small subunit ribosomal RNA", at positions 524 to 776 of the family's 1533-position model. The record is from RNAcentral.